Molecule: ribosomal RNA, 192 nt
Filed under: Segatella copri
Lineage: Bacteria; Pseudomonadati; Bacteroidota; Bacteroidia; Bacteroidales; Prevotellaceae
Description: partial 16S ribosomal RNA
Rfam family: Bacterial small subunit ribosomal RNA
Source: RNAcentral
ACAAUGGAGAGUUUGAUCCUGGCUCAGGAUGAACGCUAGCUACAGGCUUAACACAUGCAAGUCGAGGGGAAACGAUAUUGGAAGCUUGCUUCCGAUAGGCGUCGACCGGCGCACGGGUGAGUAACGCGUAUCCAACCUGCCCACCACUUGGGGAUAACCUUGCGAAAGUAAGACUAAUACCCAAUGACGUCU